RNAcentral lists this long non-coding RNA (1987 nucleotides) under Pongo abelii (Sumatran orangutan). Its description in RNAcentral is "lincRNA". The record is from RNAcentral. Lineage: Eukaryota; Metazoa; Chordata; Mammalia; Primates; Hominidae.
CAGGAAGAUGGCUUUGAAACGCUUUCACAAUGAAGGUGUGCUCCACUGGGCACCACAACAUACGGUUCAGACAUUUAAAGCCUGUCUCAGCCCAAUUUCCUCUCCAUUUGCUCCCUGGGUAAGGUAUCCCCCCUUCAGUGCAGGCAGAACCUGCGACUUGCUUCUAAUCAACAAAAUAUGGCAAAGUGGUGGAGUCUAGAAGUCUGAGAUCAGGGCACCAGCAGGGCCGAGUUCUGAUGGCGUCUCGCUUUGUCACCCAGGCUGGAGUGCAGUGGCGCGAUCUCGGUUCACUGCAACAUCUACCUCCCAGGUUCAAGCAAUUCUCCUGCCUUAGCCUCCCAAGUAGCUGGGAUUACAGGCACCCACCACCACGCCCAGCUAAUUUUUUGUAUUUUUAGUAGAGACAGGGUUUCACCAUGUUGGCCAGGAUGGUCUUGAUUUCCUUACCUGGUGAUCUGCCCACCUUUGCCUCCCAAAGUGCUGGGAUUACAGGCGUGAGCCACUGUGCCUGGCCAACCACUGAUCUUUUUACUGUAUCCAUAGUGUUGCCUUUUCCAGAAUGUCAUAGAAUUUGAAUUAUACUACAUGCUGCCCUUUCAGAUGAGUUUCUUUCACUUACUAAUAUUCAUUUGUUUCCUCCAUGUCUUUUGGCUUGAUAAUUCAUUUCUUUUUAUCACUGAAUAAUAUUCCACUGUCUGAUGUACCACAGUUUAUUUACCCAUUUACCUACUGAAGGAUAUCAGGACAUCUUAGUUGCCUCUGAGUUUUUGGCAAUUAUGAAUAAAAACUGCUAUAGAAAGAUGUGUGCAGGUUUUUCUGUGGAUAUAGUUUUCAAUUCCUUUGGGUAACUCCAAGGAGUGUGGUUGCUGGAUCAUAUGGUAAGAGUAUGUGUAGUUUUGUAACAAAUAGCCAAAUGUUCUCCAAAGUGGCAUUAGCAUUUUGCUUUCCCACCAGCAAGGAAUAAGAGUUCCUGUUGCUCUAUAUCCUCACCAGCAUUUGGUGGUGUCAGUGUUCUGGAUUUUGGCCAUUGUAAUAAAUGUGGGGUGUUAUCUCACUGUUUUUUUAAUUUGCAUUUGCCUGAUGACAUACAAUGUGGAACAUCUUUUUAUUGAAGCUAAUGUUUUAAGCCUGGCAGUUUAGUCUCUUCUCUCUCUGCAACCCUAAGCCACUGAGCACAGCUUUCUCCAGAAGCACCUGUGAGUCACUAUACACCACUGCUAUCUCCUGAAUGCUGGAGGCACUGGAGUGGGCCCCUUCAACUUUCAUUUUCUUAUUACCCAGAGAACUUGGCAUUGGUAGAUGCUCAAAAAAUGUAUGUGAGAUGCCUGCACAUUAAAAGACUGGCUGAAAACUUAAGCAGUAUACUGGUUUAGAUCAUUCAUUGCUAUCGGCAAGAGUAAAAAGCUAUGUAGCAGGGUUCUGAAGUAAUAAGCAACAGGCAUGUUAUGUCAGUUUCCAGAUCAAGUGCUGCUCUCAAAAUUGCAAAUUGACUUCUGGCCAGAGCCCUCUUGGAAGUUUCUUCAUUUUGCAAGUGCAGCUCUUUCCCCUGCUUGACAGGGGAGUGUAUUGAGCACUCCCAGAUGGGUCUUUCCCAAGCAGGAACCAUUGGGGCCCAAAUGAAUCAAGUUGAAGGAGAGUGAGCAGAGUCAGCAGUGAGAGAAAGACUUAGCUGCAAGGUCAAAAUCCAUCUGAAAACAGACACGAUGGAAGACAGACAGUUCCUCCUGGAUCAUCGUAUAAAGAAAAGGGAUGGAUCAAGACAGGGAUUGCUGAUGCAUAUCUGCUCGCUGUUUGACUACAAAACACUGUCAUGAUUGAUUCUGUGUCUGCCACCCAAGUUCAUUCUCAAGGAAAUGCUGGCAAAACCCCGGCACUCAGCGUCACAGAGCUCAGUUUCCAGCCCUAGCACCACCCUUGAUAACUUGAGUGACCUUGGACUCCUGGUCUCUGCCUCAGUUUCCAAACUAAAUGAGUGUGGUGAAAAUUU